RNAcentral lists this transfer RNA (75 nucleotides) under Candidatus Bathyarchaeota archaeon. Its description in RNAcentral is "tRNA-Pro". It matches the Rfam family "tRNA". Rfam says of the family: Transfer RNA (tRNA) molecules are approximately 80 nucleotides in length. The record is from RNAcentral. Lineage: Archaea; Thermoproteati; Candidatus Bathyarchaeota.
CGGGAGUUCAGCUAGUCCGGUUCAGGCCUCUCGCUUUGGACGCGAGGAACGGAGGUUCAAAUCCUCCACUCCCGA